This 253-nucleotide ribosomal RNA is filed under the name uncultured bacterium. Its description in RNAcentral is "partial 16S ribosomal RNA". It matches the Rfam family "Bacterial small subunit ribosomal RNA", at positions 524 to 776 of the family's 1533-position model. The record is from RNAcentral.
UACGGAGGGUGCGAGCGUUGUCCGGAAUCAUUGGGCGUAAAGGGCGCGUAGGUGGCGGGACAAGCGUGCGGUGAAAGCCUGGGGCUCAACCCCGGGUCGGCCGUGCGAACUGUUUUGCUUGAGCACUGUAGAGGCAGGCGGAAUUCCGGGUGUAGCGGUGGAAUGCGUAGAGAUCCGGAAGAACACCGGUGGCGAAGGCGGCAUCCUGGACCGAUAUUGACGCUGAUGCGCGAAAGCCAGGGGAGCAAACGGG